GAUGAACGCUGGCGGCGUGCUUAACACAUGCAAGUCGAACGGAAAGGCCGAAGCUUGCUUCGGUACUCGAGUGGCGAACGGGUGAGUAACACGUGGGUGAUCUGCCCUGUACUUCGGGAUAAGCUUGGGAAACUGGGUCUAAUCCCGGAUAUGACGUUUUCUUGGUUGGGGUUGUGGAAAGCUUUUGCGGUAUGGGAUGAGCGCGCGGCCUAUCAGCGUGUUGGUGGGGUAAUGGCCUACCAAGGCGUCGACGGGUAGCCGGCCUGAGAGGGUGUACGGCGACAUUGGGAAUGAGAGACGGCCCAGACUCCUACGGGAGGCAGCAGUGGGGAAUAUUGCACAAUGGGCGCAAGCCUGAUGCAGCGACGCCGCGUGGGGGAUGACGGCCUUCGGGUUGUAAACUCCUUUCGCAAUCGACGAAGCCUUUUGGUGACGGUAGGUGGAGAAGAAGCACCGGCUAACUACGUG
Molecule: ribosomal RNA, 468 nt
Filed under: uncultured bacterium
Lineage: Bacteria
Description: partial 16S ribosomal RNA
Rfam family: Bacterial small subunit ribosomal RNA
Source: RNAcentral